GGCGUAAUCGAAGAGGCGAAGUUCUUUGGAGUCGAUUCGCUGAUUCCGGAUAUCGAGCGUAUGAUGAAGGCAGGCCCCGGUCCUAUGACUCGGCAGGACGUUCUGCGGGCUCUAUGCAAAGUGUCAAUCACGCGAAUAAGCUUCCAGGACAAAGACUUAUCAGGGGCCGACCUGUCCUUGCUGGAACUGCAGCACGUAAUCUUCAGGGGGGCCAACCUAAGCAUGUGCAACUUCGAAGGUUCCAAUCUCUCCCACUCCGACU
Molecule: long non-coding RNA, 262 nt
Organism: Dermacentor andersoni
Lineage: Eukaryota; Metazoa; Arthropoda; Arachnida; Ixodida; Ixodidae
Source: RefSeq, a predicted model, not a curated record